AGAAUCAACGCUGGCGGCGUGCCUCAGACAUGCAAGUCGAACGCGAAAGUCCCCUUCGGGGGAUAAGUAGAGUGGCGCACGGGUGAGUAACACGUAGGUAAUCUACCUUCGGAUGGGGAAUAACAACCGGAAACGGUUGCUAAUACCGCAUAAUGCAGCGGCACCUAAUGGUGACAGUUGUUAAAGCGGGGGAUCGAAAGCCUCGCGUCUGAAGAGGAGCCUGCGGCGGAUUAGCUAGGUUGGUAAGGUAAUGGCUUACCAAGGCGACGAUCC
RNAcentral lists this ribosomal RNA (273 nucleotides) under uncultured soil bacterium. RNAcentral describes it as "partial 16S ribosomal RNA". It matches the Rfam family "Bacterial small subunit ribosomal RNA", at positions 26 to 282 of the family's 1533-position model. The record is from RNAcentral.